UUGACUCGAUCUCCUGCCUCCACCCGUCCACCAGAUGUCCUCGGACUCCCAGUCUCACCCACCUGCUCACCUGCCUCUCCUUCCCUGAUCAGCUCACAUUGUGUGAACCGCCCGUCUGUCUCCACUCAUUUACCAGGUUGUCGAGACAUUUAUCUUCUGCGUGUUUUGUUACCGCACCACCUGCCUGUCUCCCUUUUCACGCUUAUCAAUACAGACGUUCUGUGGCGUCCCGGUGGAACAGCGGGUGUGAGAUGCACGCAGUUCAUGAUGUCUGAGAACCCGUUUAUGUGGCCUGAUCCCAUGAGCUGCCGCCCCCGGAAAACCAACUUUUCACCAGAGUCAACUUGAACUUGAACUUGUGUGAUGAACGGGAGGAGGAGCCGGACGGGAAAACACAUCCAAACACAACACAACGCUCCAGUGACUGCUUCAGAUGUGACCUACAAAGAUGACACAGCCAACACAGACCCACCCACCGACGCCCACACCCAGAAACACGCGAGGCAGCGGGGGGGGGGAGGAGUCGACGCCAUUGUUCCUCCUGUGGCUCGAGGUGGCCUGAGCCCCACACCCUGCUGUUCAGACCUUGUUAUUGGCUGCUCGUCUCUGUGGCAACAAUCGACGGCGGCCGUCACCGGGAAAAGGAUAACAGAGGAUAGGGUAGCAGGACCUGAGGUACAAAGUCACGUUCCUCUAAACAACCAUCUGUACAGGUGAAAUAAAAUCAAAGGGCAGGACAGUGACACUCAUAUCCUCUUUACGAGGCCUCUUCAUGAGUAGAUCAUCUGCUGAACAUGCAGUGGUGAAAACUCCAUAGACGUGAUGUUGCCAGCAGUGAUGGAGGCGUCUGUUCCAUCUAUGAUCUUCAAGCAUUUAAAGGAUUUCACCCAAAUUAACAACCAGCUCCUGGUGGUGCCAAGUCAUGGGGGUUAUUUUCUGGGAGAUUUAAAUGUAGUUCAUCACGGCUGUGAGCACCGCAAGUGAAAUUCCUUUCAUUUUCCUCAUUGUAGUGGAAAGAUUGAAUCAAUCUCAAGAACCAGAAACCAUCAAAAACUGGAUUAAUUAAACCUGUGCAAGGACUUUUGUGAUUUGGGUGAAAAAAAACGAUGGUUUUUGAUGUUUCACGUGCUCAUAUUAAGUGUUUAUGACUUUCACUUUCUCACGUUAUGGCUUCAUGAGUUUUAUUAUCCUGCAUCUAGUGAAACAAUAUUAUACCAUAAAUUCAAAGCACAGAGCUUAUAUGUGACAUUUUAAAUAAAAUCUAAUGUGUCCAUAAAUUUAACAUGUUUUCCACCAUGUGUGAAAAGUUACUCAAGUUUUAAAAAAUUCCAGAUGUUGAAUACAAGAUCUGAAAGAGUGAAGGAAGAAGGAAUAACAGCUUUAAAAGUAGAAAUUUAAUAGUAGAAGUAGAAAUACCCAUAAAGUAAAACUAGAAUGGCACUAAGAGGAACACGUAUCUCCAUCCAAGGCCCAACGGUCUCCUCAUGAAACCACUUUGAAAAUCACUGGAUCCAAAUUUUUGUGUGGAUCUGCACCA
Molecule: long non-coding RNA, 1537 nt
Organism: Hippoglossus stenolepis (Pacific halibut)
Lineage: Eukaryota; Metazoa; Chordata; Actinopteri; Pleuronectiformes; Pleuronectidae
Exons: 4
Source: RefSeq, a predicted model, not a curated record